Amblyraja radiata (thorny skate) is the source of this 3222-nucleotide long non-coding RNA. RefSeq lists it as uncharacterized. Lineage: Eukaryota; Metazoa; Chordata; Chondrichthyes; Rajiformes; Rajidae. The transcript has 2 exons. The record is from RefSeq and is a predicted model, not a curated record.
UCUCCAGCAAUUUUGUCUAGCUAGGAUAGUUCCUAUGUACAUACACUUUAAUUCCUGUAAAAUAGAAAAUAACAAAAUAACCUUUAGAAACUCCAUGUAAGUAAAAAUACAUUUUGAACAACAUGGAAAUAGUUUCUAUCCUAUCAAAUUCUUUGAGCAUCAAAUGUACAUCAAUUAGAUAACCAUAUGUUCAAGGGAAUAUAAACCAAUCCUAUACAAUUUCAGUAGGCAGUUACCUAAUAUUCCCUAUAUACCCAUUUAUAUUAGCACUAUGUACCUAUCUUAAGAAAAUGCAUAUUCCCAAUUUGCUUGCAUCUUUACAAUGUCGGGAUAUUUAGUAGGCUCAAUUUUGAUUUAACCUUUCAUAAUGGAGAGUGUGUUAGAAUUUAUAUUCUUGAGUUUGCCUGAUACUAGAUAGCUGAACAUGCACGUUAUUCUGAGCUCAGUCACAGGAAGAGAUUACCAGGCAGACAGGAAAAAGUUCAAGGAUGAGAAAUGCAACAUCCCUUCUGACUUCUGGGAAUCUCUGGCUCAUGACCACUGAAAAUGGAGAAGUGUCACUGAUGGUAUUGAGAACCUUCGGUCCAUGCGUCACUAAUUGCAUCUUAAAUACCCAAUGGUUUCAAUUGGACGGAUGUUUUCACUUAAGAUUUCUAUCUAAAUUAUUUGUGACUAAAAUAAAUCCUUUUGAGCUUUUCAUCUAUUUAACAAUGUGCUAAAAUUCAGAGCUAACUAGAGCUUUAUAAAGGUUCAGUACAACUUCCAUACUUUUGUACUCGGUACUUCUAUUUAUAAACUCAAGGUGCCAUUGGCUAUGCGAACUACUCUCUCAAUCUGACUGACUUUCUUCAAAGAUCAUACACAUGACCCAACCCCAGCAAAGAUCAGAUCCCUGCAGUUCUCUGUUCUUUUACACUCUUUAGAACUUUGUUUUUUAGAAUUACAUAUCUUGAGACAAGAUGUAUCACCUCACACUAGGUAGUGUGAAACUCCAUCUGCUAUUUAUCUACCCAUUCAACUGCCUGAAUGUGUCUUGUUGCAACUAUUAUCUUUUAAUAUUGGUAUUAUCUUUGCUGCUUGCCGCACUCUGGGUUUGGUGUUAUCAGCAUAUCUUCCUCGGGAAGGAAAUGUGCUGUCCUUACCUGGUCUGGCCUCUCUGUGACCCCAGAAUUUGUAAUAAUUCAGAAACAUUUGAAGAAACAAAGAUGCAGAGUCUUGACUCGUAACAUUGACCUUUCUUUACCUCCACUGAUGCUGCUUGACACACUUGCAGUAGUUUAUUUUUGGUUGCCUUCUGAAAUGGCCUAGGGGGUCACUCAGUUGUACAAUAACCACCACAUUAAAACAGAAAAAGACAUGAAACCUGACACACUGAACAACCUAGGUACCAAACUCAUUCACAGCAAAAUCAAUCUCUGACAUCUGAGGACUGCUGUGUAAAGUGAGAGUGUUAUCUUGCAUACCCCUCAACUAAGUAAUUCUACUAGUUGUUCUUGUAGAAUUAUGUCUUAUGGGCAAGGUGCAAACUCCUCCAUCACAAUUGUUGAGAAUAUCCUGUCCAUCCAGCAGGACAAACCACCAGAGUUGAUGGUACUGUGGUUUGCACACAGGAAAGAGUAAUCUUGGGAGUCCUCAGUUUUUACUCCAAACCCUGUGAAAUGUCACUAUAGCAGUUCAAACACAGACAAGCAAAUUUCAUCCUGACUAUCCAUUUACUGCCCUCCCUUAGCUGAUGAAUCAGUAAUACCCUACAGUGAACAACACUUGGCUAAAGCUAUGAAAGUAACUGGAGUAUAAAAUGUACUCCAGAGGGAGGGUUUCAAUGUCCAUUGCCAAGUCUGGUUUGUUAGCGCCACUGCUGAUUGAGUAGGCUGACCCAUGAAGAAUGUAGCAGCCAGACAGAGCCUGUGCAUUGAGCCUGUGGAAGCAAACACUUUUAAUUAAGAUAUGUACAUUAUGUGAAAGGGAUGGACCCAGAACAGACCUGCCAGCUGAAAACUUGGCACACAUGAGCUACAGUUGACCAUAGAGACAGCAGGAAUUUGCACCACCACAAUCAAUAACCUCAUGGUCCAGCAUAUCCCUCAUUAACCAUUAGAGACCAGCAAUUGGAUCAAGCUUGCUUAAUUGAGGUGUGCAUGAGGGCAUGGCAGGGAAUGGCAUCAGGCUUACCUAAAACUGAGGGACUAGCCGGGUGAAACCACAAUACAGAGCAGUCCCACAACCAAUGGAUCAUAUGAAAGCUCAUUUGCUUUCUGAAUGUUUGGUCGUGAAUGAUUGGGGUAAAUUAAACAGCUAAUAGACUGAGGUAGCUCCACGUCAUCCUCAUUCUCUGUGAUGUUAGGGUUCAACAUGAGAGUACGAAUCAUUCAUAAGCAUAUUCAGCUAGAAGUGUCAAGUUAGAUGAUUCAUCUCUGCUUCUUCCUGAGAUCCUUAAUGUCACAAAAAACAGAUUUGUCUACUUCGACUUACUCCAUGUGAUACAAAGAAAUAGUUGAGAGCAUUGAAUACAGCAAAGACAACGGGACCAGUCAACACCCAGGCUUGUAAUACUGAAGGCUUGUACUCCAGAAAUAACUUUGCCUUUAGUCAACCUGUUGCAAUGCAGCAUAUGGAAUCUAUCCAGAAUGGAGGAAAGAAGCUAUUAAUAUGAUGGCUUGUAUGCUAUUGUACAAUACCUAUAAGAUGGUGAUACAUUUUGUGACUGUCGAAAGAUGGUCACGAGCAUUUGAGGUAAAAAAAGUGUGGUGGUUGAUACUGCCCCCUGUAUUUCUCUGGUGCUGAUGUGCAGUGAGUAACAUAUCCAUUGAUCCAUUGUUCCUCCAGAUAGACGGAAUUCACAUUGGAAUUCCAGGAGAGACACAAAAUGCUGGAGUAACUCGGCGGGUCAGGCAUCGUCUCUGGAGCAAAAGGACAGGUGAUGUUUCGGGUUGGGAUCCAUCUUCAGGCUAUUUUUCAGAAGGAUCCCGACCAGAAACGUCACCUAUCCUUUUAUUUCCAGAGUUGCAGCCUGACCUGAUGAAUUACUCCAGCACAGUCAACCGUGAGUCCAAGACUUGAUGGUAAGUUUGGAAGUGCCUAAUCUUGCUGUGAUUCCACAGUAUUGUAGUGGAUAUCUUAUCUCAGUUCAGUUACUAGGCCUAAUCUAGCACAGAAAUUAAGAACGCAUUUAUAUUCAUUGGGAGUGUAGUGCACAGAUGUAGGAGACAAUGCAGAAGGGAA